CGUUGUGAAUAUUCAUAUUCUUUCUUCUUCUCACUUAGGAUCCGCCGCGACUCUCCCACCUCAUCCUUCUUCUCAUUGCAUCCGUCUCAAUCCUCUUUGCCGGUAAUUUCUGCUUUAACACUUCACCGUCUCUCGAUGUUCACUACCAUCUCCUUCAAUUCUUGCUCCGCUCGCCAUUUCUUGCCCGUGAUUCAACAUCUCUCCGCUCAGAUUUUCACUCGUUUAAUCUUCAUAUCAGUGAAUUGCAACCUUAUCAUAUGGACAAACUUAAACAAAGUGAAACUAGGCAUCGGAGAGAUGAGAUAUUCGAAGAUAAGGCUUACCUACCAAAGACAAGUCUAG
This is a non-coding RNA of Vicia faba (fava bean), 342 nucleotides long. The record is from the annotation of a GenBank genome assembly. NCBI's taxonomy places the organism in Eukaryota, Viridiplantae, Streptophyta, Magnoliopsida, Fabales, Fabaceae.